RNAcentral lists this ribosomal RNA (1520 nucleotides) under Klebsiella pneumoniae LCT-KP289. Its description in RNAcentral is "bacterial SSU rRNA". It matches the Rfam family "Bacterial small subunit ribosomal RNA". Lineage: Bacteria; Pseudomonadati; Pseudomonadota; Gammaproteobacteria; Enterobacterales; Enterobacteriaceae. The record is from RNAcentral.
AGAGUUUGAUCAUGGCUCAGAUUGAACGCUGGCGGCAGGCCUAACACAUGCAAGUCGAGCGGUAGCACAGAGAGCUUGCUCUCGGGUGACGAGCGGCGGACGGGUGAGUAAUGUCUGGGAAACUGCCUGAUGGAGGGGGAUAACUACUGGAAACGGUAGCUAAUACCGCAUAAUGUCGCAAGACCAAAGUGGGGGACCUUCGGGCCUCAUGCCAUCAGAUGUGCCCAGAUGGGAUUAGCUAGUAGGUGGGGUAACGGCUCACCUAGGCGACGAUCCCUAGCUGGUCUGAGAGGAUGACCAGCCACACUGGAACUGAGACACGGUCCAGACUCCUACGGGAGGCAGCAGUGGGGAAUAUUGCACAAUGGGCGCAAGCCUGAUGCAGCCAUGCCGCGUGUGUGAAGAAGGCCUUCGGGUUGUAAAGCACUUUCAGCGGGGAGGAAGGCGAUAAGGUUAAUAACCUUGGCGAUUGACGUUACCCGCAGAAGAAGCACCGGCUAACUCCGUGCCAGCAGCCGCGGUAAUACGGAGGGUGCAAGCGUUAAUCGGAAUUACUGGGCGUAAAGCGCACGCAGGCGGUCUGUCAAGUCGGAUGUGAAAUCCCCGGGCUCAACCUGGGAACUGCAUUCGAAACUGGCAGGCUAGAGUCUUGUAGAGGGGGGUAGAAUUCCAGGUGUAGCGGUGAAAUGCGUAGAGAUCUGGAGGAAUACCGGUGGCGAAGGCGGCCCCCUGGACAAAGACUGACGCUCAGGUGCGAAAGCGUGGGGAGCAAACAGGAUUAGAUACCCUGGUAGUCCACGCCGUAAACGAUGUCGAUUUGGAGGUUGUGCCCUUGAGGCGUGGCUUCCGGAGCUAACGCGUUAAAUCGACCGCCUGGGGAGUACGGCCGCAAGGUUAAAACUCAAAUGAAUUGACGGGGGCCCGCACAAGCGGUGGAGCAUGUGGUUUAAUUCGAUGCAACGCGAAGAACCUUACCUGGUCUUGACAUCCACAGAACUUAGCAGAGAUGCUUUGGUGCCUUCGGGAACUGUGAGACAGGUGCUGCAUGGCUGUCGUCAGCUCGUGUUGUGAAAUGUUGGGUUAAGUCCCGCAACGAGCGCAACCCUUAUCCUUUGUUGCCAGCGGUCCGGCCGGGAACUCAAAGGAGACUGCCAGUGAUAAACUGGAGGAAGGUGGGGAUGACGUCAAGUCAUCAUGGCCCUUACGACCAGGGCUACACACGUGCUACAAUGGCAUAUACAAAGAGAAGCGACCUCGCGAGAGCAAGCGGACCUCAUAAAGUAUGUCGUAGUCCGGAUUGGAGUCUGCAACUCGACUCCAUGAAGUCGGAAUCGCUAGUAAUCGUAGAUCAGAAUGCUACGGUGAAUACGUUCCCGGGCCUUGUACACACCGCCCGUCACACCAUGGGAGUGGGUUGCAAAAGAAGUAGGUAGCUUAACCUUCGGGAGGGCGCUUACCACUUUGUGAUUCAUGACUGGGGUGAAGUCGUAACAAGGUAACCGUAGGGGAACCUGCGGUUG